UGUACAAUAGAAUCGGCUCCUCAAGGGUGGUCGGCUCAUCCCCUAACGAAAGGGGGUGAGAAUUAUGGUGUCAUACGAAGCACUUAACCUAGCAAUAAACUUCGGUGUAUUGCUACUAACGUUUAUAGGUGUGAUGGUUGCUAUCAUGACACUUAACAAAAAGAAAUAGACACCCUUGAGUUGUGGACGACGAAAGGAUGUCUAUUUCUAAUCGAAACGUCUGUUGAGCCGAUCCCCUUGUGGGAACGUCUAUUGUACAUGGACCGCUCUGGUGUUGGCGCACCAGACG
This 289-nucleotide small RNA is filed under the name Aneurinibacillus thermoaerophilus. RNAcentral's name for it is "BsrG". It matches the Rfam family "BsrG". From Rfam's summary of the family: bsrE, bsrG and bsrH pair through intermolecular interactions with antisense sRNAs. SR4 interaction with the 3'UTR of bsrG RNA promotes bsrG degradation and inhibits its translation. The record is from RNAcentral. Lineage: Bacteria; Bacillati; Bacillota; Bacilli; Caryophanales; Paenibacillaceae.